AACCACAAAGUAACUUUGAUUAAAGGAGGAAACUGGUCUACUUGUUGAAAAUGUGGUAAUGAGAUAGUUUCCACCCAGCCGGGAAGCGUGGCCCGGAGGGGGAGGGGAGCCUGCAUUUCUUCAUGCCUCUACCCAUCCUGAAGAAGGUAGAAAGGAACAGGCCUGGCUCGACCUCCACUUUGGAGAAGAUGCUCCAGGAACACUGAAGGGCAGGUCGUCUCCCACCUUCUAUGAGGAUUGCCCAGCUCAAGUAUUGUUUGGAGCCAGGUAGAGUGAAGUCCUACAGAGUUAUCAGGUUCCAGACCCUGCCUUCUCUUCUGAAAGGGUUUGGAAAUCCCUUGUCUCCAGGUUGCUGGGAUUGACUUCUUGCUCAAUUGAAACACUCAUUCAAUGGAGACAAAGAGAACUAAUGCUUUGUGCUGAUUCAUAUUUGAAUCGAGGCAUUGGGAAGCCUGUAUGCCUUGUUUGUGGAAAUAACCAGUGACACCAUCACUGAGCUUCCUAAAAGUUCGAAGAAGUUAGAGGACUAUACACUUUCUUUUGAACUUUUAUAAUAAAUAUUUGCUCU
This 568-nucleotide small RNA is filed under the name Pan troglodytes (chimpanzee). RNAcentral describes it as "processed transcript". The record is from RNAcentral. Lineage: Eukaryota; Metazoa; Chordata; Mammalia; Primates; Hominidae.